Molecule: ribosomal RNA, 317 nt
Filed under: uncultured eukaryote
Lineage: Eukaryota
Description: partial 18S ribosomal RNA
Rfam family: Eukaryotic small subunit ribosomal RNA
Source: RNAcentral
CCCUUAGAUGCUCUGGGCCGCACGCGCGCUACACUGGUCGAUGCAACGAGUUUCUUUCCUUGGCCGACAGGCCUGGGCAAUCUUUGAACAUCGAUCGUGAUCGGGAUAGAUUCUUGUAAUUUUUGAUCUUAAACGAGGAAUUCCUAGUAAACGCAAGUCAUCAGCUUGCAUUGAUUACGUCCCUGCCCUUUGUACACACCGCCCGUCGCACCUACCGAUUGAAUGGUCCGGUGAAAUCCUCGGAUCGAGCCGUGGGGCAACUCCGGUUCGAGAAGUUGAUUAAACCUUACCAUUUAGAGGAAGGUGAANUCGUAACA